This 485-nucleotide ribosomal RNA is filed under the name uncultured bacterium. RNAcentral's name for it is "partial 16S ribosomal RNA". It matches the Rfam family "Bacterial small subunit ribosomal RNA", at positions 30 to 507 of the family's 1533-position model. The record is from RNAcentral.
AUUGAACGCUGGCGGCAUGCCUUACACAUGCAAGUCGAACGGCAGCACGGGUGCUUGCACCUGGUGGCGAGUGGCGAACGGGUGAGUAAUACAUCGGAACAUGUCCUGUAGUGGGGGAUAGCCCGGCGAAGCCGGAUUAAUACCGCAUACGAACUACGGAUUAAAGCGGGGGGCCUUCGGGCCUCGCGCUAUAGGGGUGGCCGAUGGCUGAUUAGCUAGUUGGUGGGGUAAAGGCCUACCAAGGCGACGAUCAGUAGCUGGUCUGAGAGGACGACCAGCCACACUGGGACUGAGACACGGCCCAGACUCCUACGGGAGGCAGCAGUGGGGAAUUUUGGACAAUGGGCGAAAGCCUGAUCCAGCAAUGCCGCGUGUGUGAAGAAGGCCUUCGGGUUGUAAAGCACUUUUGUCCGGAAAGAAAUCCUUGGCCCUAAUACGGUCGGGGGAUGACGGUACCGGAAGAAUAAGCACCGGCUAACUACGUG